This 332-nucleotide ribosomal RNA is filed under the name uncultured eukaryote. RNAcentral's name for it is "partial 18S ribosomal RNA". It matches the Rfam family "Eukaryotic small subunit ribosomal RNA", at positions 1470 to 1796 of the family's 1831-position model. The record is from RNAcentral.
CCCUUAGAUGUUCUGGGCCGCACGCGUGUUACACUGACGCAUUCAUCGAGUGUUUUGAUCGACCUUGGCCGAGAGGCCCGGGCAAUCUUUUCAACGUGCGUCGUGAUGGGGAUAGAUGAUUGCAAUUUUUCAUCUUGAACGAGGAAUGCCUAGUAAACGCAAGUCAUCAGCUUGCAUUGAUUACGUCCCUGCCCUUUGUACACACCGCCCGUCGCUACUACCGAUUGAAUGGUUUAGUGAGUUUUGUGGAUGGUCUGGGCGCUGGCUUCGGUCGGUGUCCGGGUGAGAAGCGCAACAAACUUGACUAUUUAGAGGAAGUAAAAGUCGUAACA